GAACGUGCCCCAAAGUGAGGAAUAACUGCCCGAAAGGGUGGCUAAUGCCGCAUAUGAUCUUCGGAUUAAAGUAUUUCUACGCUUUGGGAGCGGCCCGCGUCGGAUUAGGUAGUUGGUAGGGUAAUGGCCUACCAAGCCGACGAUCCGUAGCUGGUCUUAGAGGAUGAUCAGCCAGACUGGAACUGAGACACGGUCCAGACUCCUACGGGAGGCAGCAGUGAGGAAUCUUCCACAAUGGGGCGAAAGCCUGAUGGAGCAACGCCGCGUGCAGGAUGAAGGCCUUCGGGGUUGUAAACUGCUUUUAUAAGUGAAGAAUAUGACGGUAACUUAUGAAUAAGCACCGGCUAACUACGUGCCAGCAGCCGCGGUCAUACGUAGGGUGCAAGCAUUAUCCGGAGUGACUGGGCGUAAAGAGUUGCGUAGGUGGUUUGUUAAGCAGGUAGUGAAAUCUGACGGCUCAACCGUACAGGCUAUUACCUGAACUGGCAAACUCGAGAAUGGUAGAGGUAACUGGAAUUUCUAGUGUAGGAGUGGAAUCCGUAGAUAUUAGAAGGAACACCAAUGGCGUAGGCAGGUUACUGGACCAUUUCUGACACUAAGGCACGAAAGCGUGGGGAGCG
RNAcentral lists this ribosomal RNA (620 nucleotides) under uncultured bacterium. RNAcentral describes it as "bacterial SSU rRNA". It matches the Rfam family "Bacterial small subunit ribosomal RNA", at positions 122 to 770 of the family's 1533-position model. The record is from RNAcentral.